This 254-nucleotide ribosomal RNA is filed under the name uncultured prokaryote. Its description in RNAcentral is "partial 16S ribosomal RNA". It matches the Rfam family "Bacterial small subunit ribosomal RNA", at positions 524 to 776 of the family's 1533-position model. The record is from RNAcentral.
UACAGAGGGUGCGAGCGUUAAUCGGAAUUACUGGGCGUAAAGCGAGUGCAGGUGGCCUAUUAAGUCACAUGUGAAAUCCCCGGGCUUAACCUGGGAACUGCAUGUGAUACUGGUAGAGCUAGAAUAUGUGAGAGGGGGGUAGAAUUCCAGGUGUAGCGGUGAAAUGCGUAGAGAUCUGGAGGAAUACCGAUGGCGAAGGCAGCCCCCUGGCAUAAUAUUGACACUCAGACUCGAAAGCGUGGGUAGCAAACAGG